AAGUGAGUCAUUAGUUCAUUACUCGAAACGGAGCCAAACGUGCAAGUGAAAUUCUCCAUGUGCAAAAACUUACAUUACUAAUUUUCCUGGCAUUUGAACAUUGAACUUGUGAAACAAAUAGGCCAUUGCUUCCCUGACAAUUCCGACAUUUUUUUCGAAACUUUUGUGCAAGAUUUGAUUUGUCUUCUUUUCGGGAACGGCUUGACGACCACCGCUUGGCUGAGACACAUUUACAACCGCGUGGGUGCUUCUUCAUGGCCGUUUUCUUCCAUCCGUUGAGCUGUUGGCCAAAUUGAAAAACAUUCCCGAGGAAGGUGGCAGCCAUUUGUAAUGAUGGCUUAUCUCGACACGACCACACUAGAAAAGGGAUUAAACUGCAAGUCGUCGGUUGGUUGGCCUGUCUACGUGCGUCACGCCUACAAAAGCAGCUGACAAGAACGGCGAGAGAACCGGAGGUUUGCCAAAUGCGAGAAGAGAGGCGGAAGUCAAAUAUUGACCCCAGACACAAAAAAAACCUUCUUCUUUUUCCCUUAAAAAGAAGGAUGCAACUAAAGGACGGACUUGUGUCAUGCUUGGCGCCUCAACCACUCUACUCCACCCGGAAUGCAAACCAAAGAUCUAGAUGCAAGGGGGCCCUUUGAACCCACUCACGGAGCAAGUGUUCAGCAAUCCAGCAAGAUAACUCCUCUGACAUGAGAGCUUCCGGUCCGCAUAGAUGCCUGGCUAGUUUCGCGACCUUUGGCAGCUGGCCCGACGACCAGAAAGUCACCCGAGUAACUGAGCACCAAUCCGCGACUGACCCAAACGAUUUAUUUCCCUUUAUCGCCUUUAGCUUGCAUUAUUCAUUCAAGUAAAUCGUUUCACGUUUAACCUGUAAA
This 878-nucleotide long non-coding RNA is filed under the name Daphnia magna. Its description in RNAcentral is "uncharacterized LOC116928923, transcript variant X1". The record is from RNAcentral. Lineage: Eukaryota; Metazoa; Arthropoda; Branchiopoda; Diplostraca; Daphniidae.